Molecule: non-coding RNA, 2128 nt
Organism: Tetranychus urticae (two-spotted spider mite)
Lineage: Eukaryota; Metazoa; Arthropoda; Arachnida; Trombidiformes; Tetranychidae
Source: RefSeq, a predicted model, not a curated record
UUAUUAUAAAUUUACAUAAUGAUAAUGAAUUUUGAGCUGAACCGAUAUCAAAAAGACAGCAUUUCUAUUUACAUUGCUUGUAUCUUAAUUUUCAGAUAUUUUGUGAGUGAUUGCUAUUACAAUUUGUUUAUUGAAAUUAUAUCUCAUUGUACGGCCAUGCUGGAAACCAUUUGACAGCAACAUUAAGGAACAGCUGAGCCAAUAUCAACAAGACGUGCAUUUCAUUUCACACUUGACAUCGUUAACUUUUUCAACUGAAAUUUCAUCAUUCAGGUUUUCAAUUGUCGGUGAAAUCUUGAAAUCGGUCAAUUCACAAAUUGAUUUACUAGUUGGAAUAUGAUUAUUGCUAAUAGAUACAGUACGACGACACUUGCAGAGACAAAAGGAUAACAAUAUGAUCGCAACGCAGAUUGAUGAUGCAUAUAUUGUUUUCGCACUGAGAAACUGUUGGCAUUUAUUUAAAUUUGUAUAAUCUGGACAGUUGUAUGUUAGGAAGGCAGAGAGUUUAUUCAAUUUUGAUGAAGGAGAACUACAAUUAGCAACAUGAGAAUCAAGAAGACACUGUUUCAGUAUCAUUGUCUUACAACAUUGACUUUUCAUGGAGUCCAAAAAAUCAAUCUUUUUAACUUUGGAAUGGCAAUGUUUAGCAAUCAUAUUGAUGUGUGAUGAACAAUCUAAUGACACUGAAGAGACGCCAUAUGAUGAGAGUGCAGAUAGAUUUGGUAGUGAUGGAGUGAUAGUUGAAUAUACGAAAUGGUUGAGCACAGUCGAAAUGAGUAGACCAUAUUUGUAGAAAGGAGCACAUGAAGGCAUAUUUCAAAGAUUACACAAAUACUUGCAGAUACACAAACAGAGACGCAAUUUGAAACAGAGAUGAAAUUUUGGUAAAAUAUAUUAAUGAAGUCAAAAUAAUUAGAUUUAUUCUUGUAGAGCUUAGUCUUCGCUUUGCUCAGACUAAUUAAGGACAGUUUUUAGGCGACUGUACCGACGUUGUAUACACGUUGAGAAAAAAAUAAUAUCAAUACAACUAGAACAUGAAAUAGUGUUAUUGGAAAGUGUUUGAAGUUGAUUGAAGUCAUGUCUCGAUCAUAUUUCAUAACCAUUUGGAUCAACUCCAAGCCUUGCUUCGCUUCACUUUCCUGUUAAGAAGUAAUUAGUAGAUAUUAGAUCUUGAUUGUUUCAUCAAUACUGUAUGAAAUGCCUCCUUAAACUGGAUUCAACACAAUGUUUUACAGAGUCAAGUAACAAAGAUCAUUAACAAAGCCUAAAUUGUUUGAUUGAUUUUAAUUGAAAACAGUUGUACUUGCUGAAGUAUCAAUUGACUGAACAAAGUCUAAACUUUGCAUAAAUUGAAAAAUGAUCCAUUUUAGGAUAACAUUUGAGUUCAUAUCAUGAUACAGUAGAGAGAUAGUCACUUGAACUAGGGAUGGAUUGGACAAUGUUCAAUGGGCAUAAGUUUCGAAAGUAGUUUCUCUGAUUGCUUAGGAAUUAUGGACAUGAUUUUUCACAAAUUCCUCACUUUUUCAAUCUUUUUUACCGUAGCUAGCCAUCCACUUGACAAUUUUUAGGUGAAAAAACUCUGUUUAUUUCGGUUGUUUUAAAAACAGAACAGAAGUAAAAGAGAAUAUCUUACGACCAUCGAAUUCUGUGAGAAUAGCGUUGAGUUAAUAAUAAUGGUAGUUUAUGGACUUCCCAUUCAAUAAGCUUCACCAAUUUUGAAUUCAGGAAAAUUAAGGUUAGCAACUGACUCUAUGGAUUAGUGACUCAUAAUCCCGAGAUUUCCUUACGGGCAAAAGGAACUGGUCAACACCUCCUAAAAUCACCCAAAUUGUACCCUUGGUUUCCAUUUGGAGAAAACAAAAGGGAAACAUGUAAUUUCCGCCUCAACAGCUGAAGGAAUCAAGAAAAAGUCCGAAGUGGCUGGUUUGGUGUCUGGUACUUCACUCGGUGUCGCCAAAGCAGCAUUGAAGAAGCCUAUUUUUAUUGAAAAGACGAUUGUUUCUUUUAAAAAAGUAACCCCCGAAAAACCCAAAUACAAGGUGAUUUGGGUCGAACAAAAAGUGCCAAUCAUGACUCAAGAGCCAGCAACUCCUAUGGAACUCUACAAAAAAGAAACAAAGGUACAUGU